CAGCGCCACGAGUCGCAGUCGCGAUUAUUGGGCCUAAAGCGUCCGUAGCCGGACCUGUAAAUCUUUUGUGAAAUCGUCAAGCUCAACUUGACGGCGUGCAGAAGACACUGCAGGUCUUGAGACCGGGAGGAGUCAGAAGUAUUCUUGGGGGAACGGUAAAAUGUUAUAAUCCCAGGAAGACUACCGAUGGCGAAGGCAUCUGACCAGAACGGAUCUGACGGUGAGGGACGAAAGCUAGGGGAGCGAACCGGAUUAGAUACCCGUGUAGUCC
RNAcentral lists this ribosomal RNA (271 nucleotides) under uncultured archaeon. RNAcentral describes it as "partial 16S ribosomal RNA". It matches the Rfam family "Archaeal small subunit ribosomal RNA", at positions 477 to 747 of the family's 1478-position model. The record is from RNAcentral.